GACGAACGCUGGCGGCGUGCUUAACACAUGCAAGUCGAACGGUGAAGCUCCAGCUUGCUGGAGUGGAUCAGUGGCGAACGGGUGAGUAACACGUGAGCAACCUGCCCCUGACUCUGGAAUAAGCGCUGGAAACGGCGUCUAAUACUGGAUACGAGAAGGGUCCGCAUGGGCACUUUCUGGAAAGUUUUUCGGUUGGGGAUGGGCUCGCGGCCUAUCAGCUUGUUGGUGAGGUAAUGGCUCACCAAGGCGACGACGGGUAGCCGGCCUGAGAGGGCGACCGGCCACACUGGGACUGAGACACGGCCCAGACUCCUACGGGAGGCAGCAGUGGGGAAUAGUGCACAAUGGGCGAAAGCCUGAUGCAGCGACGCCGCGUGAGGGAUGACGGCCUUCGGGUUGUAAACCUCUUUCAGCAGGGAAGAAGCGAAAGUGACGGUACCUGCAGAAGAAGCACCGGCUAACUACGUG
This 468-nucleotide ribosomal RNA is filed under the name uncultured bacterium. RNAcentral describes it as "partial 16S ribosomal RNA". It matches the Rfam family "Bacterial small subunit ribosomal RNA", at positions 28 to 507 of the family's 1533-position model. The record is from RNAcentral.